GGAGUUGUGGCUCAAAUGGUAGAGCGCUCAUCUGGCACGCGAGAGGCACUGGGUUCAAUCCUCAGUACCA
RNAcentral lists this transfer RNA (70 nucleotides) under Ictidomys tridecemlineatus (thirteen-lined ground squirrel). RNAcentral describes it as "Spermophilus tridecemlineatus (thirteen-lined ground squirrel) tRNA". It matches the Rfam family "tRNA". Rfam says of the family: Transfer RNA (tRNA) molecules are approximately 80 nucleotides in length. Their secondary structure includes four short double-helical elements and three loops (D, anti-codon, and T loops). Lineage: Eukaryota; Metazoa; Chordata; Mammalia; Rodentia; Sciuridae. The record is from Rfam by way of RNAcentral.